Molecule: ribosomal RNA, 1710 nt
Filed under: Caenorhabditis sp. SB341
Lineage: Eukaryota; Metazoa; Nematoda; Chromadorea; Rhabditida; Rhabditidae
Description: SSU rRNA
Rfam family: Eukaryotic small subunit ribosomal RNA
Source: RNAcentral
CGCUAUAUGCUCAAGUAAAAGAUUAAGCCAUGCAUGUUGGUUCAUCGUAAGAGAAACUGCGAACGGCUCAUUAGAGCAGAUAUCACAUCCUUCGGCAUUCCAAAUUGGAUAACUGCGGAAAUACUGGAGCUAAUACAUGCAACUAAGCCCUGACGUAAGGAGGGGUGCAAUUAUUAGAACAGACCAACCGUCCUAACCGACGUUGACUGUUGACUCUGAAUAAUGCAGUUUAUCGUCGGAGCAAUCCGACGAAGGCCGAAACUAGUGUCUGCCCUAUCAACUAGAUGGUAGUCUAUUAGUCUACCAUGGUUAUCACGGGUAACGGAGAAUAAGGGUUCGACUCCGGAGAGGGAGCCUUAGAAACGGCUACCACAUCCAAGGAAGGCAGCAGGCGCGAAACUUAUCCACUGUUGACAAUGAGAUAGUGACUAAAAAUAAAAAGACCCCUCCCAACGGAGGGGUUAUUUCAAUGAGUUGAAUACAAAUGAUUCUUCGAGGACCCAGGAGAGGGCAAGUCUGGUGCCAGCAGCCGCGGUAAUUCCAGCUCUCCUAGUGUAAAUCGUCAUUGCUGCGGUUAAAAAGCUCGUAGUUGGAUCUAGGUCGCGUGUCGGGGUUCGCCAUUGGCGUCAAUCUCGACUGCGACUUGCUGCUGGUUUGCCAUCGCGGCUCGUCCGUGUGGUGGCCAGCGAGUUUACUUUGAAUAAAUUAGAGUGCUCAAAACAAGCGUUGGCUUGCAUAUUCGAUCAUGGAAUAAUGGAAUAGGACUUCGGUUCUUUUUGUUGGUUCUAGAACUGAUGUAAUGGUUAAGAGGGACAACUCGGGGGCAUUCGUAUCAUUGCGCGAGAGGUGAAAUUCGUGGACCGCAGUGGGACGCCCAAAAGCGAAAGCAUUUGCCAAGAAUGUCUUCAUUAAUCAAGAACGAAAGUCAGAGGUUCGAAGGCGAUUAGAUACCGCCCUAGUUCUGACCGUAAACUAUGCCAUCUAGCGAUCCGGCGGGGUAUUUCGCCUUGCCGGGGAGCUUCCCGGAAACGAAAGUCUUUCGGUUCCUGGGGUAGUAUGGUUGCAAAGCUGAAACUUAAAGAAAUUGACGGAAGGGCACCACAAGGCGUGGAGCUUGCGGCUUAAUUUGACUCAACACGGGAAAACUCACCCGGCCCGGACACCGUUAGGAUUGACAGAUUGAAAGCUCUUUCUCGAUUUGGUGGUUGGUGGUGCAUGGCCGUUCUUAGUUGGUGGAGCGAUUUGUCUGGUUUAUUCCGAUAACGAGCGAGACUCUAGCCUGCUAAAUAGUGCGCGGAUUCUUAGGUCCGUACGCGCUUCUUAGAGGGAUAAGCGGUGGAGAGCCGCACGAGAUUGAGCGAUAACAGGUCUGUGAUGCCCUUAGAUGUCCGGGGCUGCACGCGUGCUACACUGGAGGGAUCAGCGUGUCCUACCAUUGCCGAAAGGUAUUGGCAAACCGUUGAAACCCCUCCGUGACCGGGAUAGGGAAUUGUAAUUAUUUCCCUUGAACGAGGAAUGCCUAGUAAGUGUGAGUCAUCAGCUCACGUUGAUUACGUCCCUGCCNUUUGUANANACCGCCCGUCGNUAUCCGGGACUGAACUGUUUCGANAANAGUGGANANUGCUGCGUUGGGGCUUCACGGCUCUUUCGUGAUGGGAACCAUUUUAAUCGCAAUGGUUUGAACCGGGUAAAAGUCGUAACAAGGUAGCU